GACGAACGCUGGCGGCGUGCCUAACACAUGCAAGUCGAGCGGGGAGGGCCUUCGGGCCCUUCCAGCGGCGGACGGGUGAGUAACGCGUGAGCAACCUUUCCUUCACAGGGGAAUAACGCAGCGAAAGCUGUGCUAAUACCGCAUGAGACCACAAGAUCGCAUGGUCAAGGGGUCAAAGGAGCAAUUCGGUGAAGGGUGGGCUCGCGUCUGAUUAGCUAGUUGGCGGGGUAACGGCCCACCAAGGUGACGAUCAGUAGCCGACCUGAGAGGGUGAUCGGCCACACUGGGACUGAGACACGGCCCAGACUCCUACGGGAGGCAGCAGUGGGGAAUUUUGGACAAUGGACGAAAGUCUGAUGCAGCAACGCCGCGUGGAGGAUGACACAUUUCGGUGCGUAAACUCCUUUUAUAUGAGAAGAAGAAAGCCGGUGAAGAGCCGGCCCUGACGGUAUCCCCUUAGCAAGCACCGGCUAACUCCGUGCCAGCAGCCGCGGUAAAGUACAG
This 504-nucleotide ribosomal RNA is filed under the name uncultured bacterium. RNAcentral's name for it is "bacterial SSU rRNA". It matches the Rfam family "Bacterial small subunit ribosomal RNA", at positions 28 to 528 of the family's 1533-position model. The record is from RNAcentral.